UACAAUCUGCGGUGUACGGAGUUCGGUAUAAAACGGGAUCCACGUUAUUAAUUCGGGAGCUCGUCAUUCGUGGCGAUAGGCAAGGUCUGUAUUUAUACGGAAAGACUGAUGCGUCAAGAUGGGGCACCCACCUGCUGAAAGCGGGUUCAUCUUUUUACCGAGGUGCGGCACAGGCGGGUUGUUU
This 184-nucleotide non-coding RNA is filed under the name Clostridia bacterium. Its description in RNAcentral is "6S RNA". It matches the Rfam family "6S / SsrS RNA". Rfam says of the family: E. coli 6S RNA was the first non coding RNA to be sequenced, but its function was unknown until recently. The record is from RNAcentral. Lineage: Bacteria; Bacillati; Bacillota; Clostridia.